CUGGAGGCAGACAGGCAGGAAGAAUAUUGUAUACUUAAUACAUACAUAAAUGAAAUCUUAAAUAAAGAAAACCAUAUACCUUUAAAAAAAAAAGAAGAUAGAGUCAACAGUCCUCAAUUCCUAGAUCAGGAUGGGAGCCUAUUCGAGAACACGGGCAAGCAGGACUGGAACCCAGAUAUCUGAAUCCCAGCCAGGCUAGAUGGCAAGUGUGUGCAGUUUUCUAGGGAGAAGAUCCCUACCUUCAGUGAUGCUAAAGGAGGCGUUGGCCAGAAAACUGGACUGGGUAAAAGGGGAGAGGUGGGGGCGGCUUUUCCCAGGAGGUGCAUUUUAAACCAUGGGGAAGGGAAGCAGACUCCAGACACAGUGUUCCUAUGUUCAUAUGAACCCCCAAACUGGAGCUCAGGCCCCAGAGCUUGGUGGAUGACUGCAGUCCCCACAUGCUGGCAGGACCUUCUCAGAUGAGCAGUGUGGAGUGGAGGCUAAAAUAGAAGGAAACCUCCACCUAACAAGACAGCUAGGACACACAGGCCCCUGGGCAGCUGCUGUUCUUUCUGAAGAGCUGCCUUGGUCUGAGGGCUCGCUCUGUCAGAACUGCUCCUCCCUGUGGAGGAAGAUGUCUGCUCACCCACCUCAGAGAAGUGGCUCGUAGGGCAUUUAUUUAUCUGUGUACAGGAUGGCAGGGUCUGUGGCCAAGUGAGGGGAAGAGCCAUUAGGUGGCUGGGCAAGUGCGUUGUAGUCAGGAGGUGCAGGAGAAAGGGGUCCCCUGAGGUUUACCUGAGGUUUAUCUGACUAUGUCCUUCAGGGAAGAGUAGCUACCCACCAUGGCUGUUGUCUUGCUGUCACCUGGCUCUGGCCCUUCCCCAGGGCCCACCUAGUGAGAGGUGGAUGAUAUGGAUCACUCCCCAAGCUUCACCCAGACAGAGCGAUGCCAGACCUGUGGGACAGGCUACGAGGCUCAGGGGCUUGGCCCACCUAUCAGUCUCUAACAUGACCCUUCAAGAGCCAGCCUAAAUCCCAUUCCUUGGAGCCUGGGCUUUCCCUUCUUCCCUCUGAGUCUGGGAGCAGUGGAUAGCCCCACCCAGGGCCUUCCCACCCCUUUGCUGCAUGGACAGACAUGGGGGGGGGUGGAGAGCAGGCUUCAGAACCUCCCUCAGACACAACCACUGAAGGCACACAGACAUCACCUCUGCUCCAGCCUAUCUGUGCUUCACUGACUGGCUAGGUCGUGGCCACUGGUUACAGAGGGCCUCACGGUCCCCUGCCCAGACACCUGCACUGCUCAUCCCGACUCAGCAUUAGUACUGAGUGUUCACCACCUCUCCCAAGGCUUACUGGAAGAGUUUGGCCUGCACUGGGUCCUGCAGCCUCCCUUUGGUCUGGCCUGAAGGAUCUGUUAUUUUGUGCAAUGGACAUAGACCUGGGUGCAAUGGACAUAGACCUGGAAGGAAUUCAGGAAAAACAGAGAAGAGGCUUUAAUUACUCUGUGGUGGACAUUCAUCUCUCCACCCGUGUCGGAGGGCCUGGCUUCUUGGGCCCCAGUGCUAUUCCUUGUCUGGUAGAGAAGAGGGAACAGAGAAGAAAAGAGUAAAGGAGGGGAUAGAGGGAAUGAGAAAAGGGAGGACUUGAGAGCAAAGUCCAGCCCAGUGGGGAAGAGGCAGGUCACUUGUUGGACUCAGGCCAGAGUCCUCUGGGCCUAUAAACUGCGUUGCCUGGCUUAGCAGAUACUAUAAUAGAGCUGAGUGGUGGUGGCACACACCUUUAAUCCCAGCACUUGGGAGGUAGAGGCAGGUGGAUCUCUGGUUUGAAGCCAGCCUGCCCUGCAGAGUGAGUUCCAGAGAAACCCUGUCUCCAAAAACAAACAAACAAAGAUACCAUAGUAGAGGCUGUAAUGGGGCAUUAGACUCCAAACCAGGGCCUGGGCCUGGAAUCUUCAGAAAGUCUCUCCACCUGAGACCAGGGUGUCCAGUUGCCUCCAGCAAGGUGGGUAAGCUACAAAAGCCAAUGCAAUGAUGUCAGGCAGACCAGGGUGCCUCUGUGACCAGCUGUCCUGACCACACCCUGGCCUUACUCCUGCUCCAUGCUCCAGGAUGCCAAUAGUUCCAGGCUGUGGCCCCCAUCCAAGGGAGUAACAACCUUUCCAGAAGACCCCAGGCUACUUUGCCAAAGCAUUUCCUUUCCCAUUGUGGAAAUCCCCAUGAGGGACCCAGUGAGACCUGUAGUAGAAGGUGCCUGAUACUGGGUGUGAAUGGAAGAUACGGAUCCAUUUCUUGUCUGUUACAUGAAGGGUCAUGCAAACAGAGUCUCUGAAGUUUAACUCUAAAGAAAGAGGAACCUAGGGCCCCCCUACUCUUCACCCUUUGCUUUGGAGAGCUGUUUCCAGAGCAUUCUCCAAGAUCCCACAGAUGUGACUCAAUCUUGACACCUGCUUCUUGGAUCAGCCAGUGUUGGUGUGUCUCAGUGCCCCCUGGUAACACCUCCCCAUCCAGAGUGAGGGCCCCUUUCCAGUCCCUGCCUUCAUCUCUCCUCAUCAUGGACAAGGGAACAGAAUGCCCCUUGUAUGUCCACACAUGGCUGAGCCUCUCCUGGUCCCUGGCAGGGAUAGGUUCUCUUUCCCUACAGCCCUCUCUGUGACUACAUCCUGGUGCACCCCACAGCCACAGUGCAUGUUAGGAAGUACCCAUACUUCCCUGCAACCCCCAGAUGGAGUGAUGCAGGUAGUGCUGAUGGGCAGGCUGGUGAGGUUUGGCCCCAGCUGGCCAGAGAGACUGGGAAGGGCUGCACAACCUGCAACAGUAACUAGUGCGCGCGCGCGCGCGCACACACACACACACACACACACACACACACACACACUUCUAAAAAGUUAAGAUCCAUACAUGCUUAUAAGUUAGAGUGCUUCAACACUCAAUACUUCCCUAGGAAUAUGCUUUUUAAUUGCCAAAAUCAAUACCAAGGAGUACAAAGCACAAAAAUGACCAAUUACCCACUGAAGGAUUUCAGAAGUUGUCAUCUCUAAAAAGAAUGCCAGACUUAAAGAGAAUUCUAGAAUGAGUUCUUUUGAAGUGGAGGAAUGGGUGGGUAAUGUCUAAGUUAUUCAAAUUCUUCCAGAGCACUAUGCAAACAUUGGGUUGAUUUUAUGUUCUUUAGCCAAUUUUAUAAAGUCAAUAUAAUCCUGACACCAAACUCUGACAGAGACAGUCAUCCUGCCCACCCACACUCACGUGACAGACACAGGCCAGGUUUACUCCUGGCAGCAGACAGCAGAGUCCUGGAUAAAAUGCUGGCACAUGGAGAUGGGAACCGUAGUGUGGUCUGACACACUAUGGUAUUUGGCUCGCUCCUCCGUACCUCAGAUCUAUGCAACAGCAAUGUGCUGGGCCAAGGUCUGAAUCCAAGCAAUUUGGACACAACAUCUACUUUGUGUGGUCCUAAAUGCCCCUUCAGGAAGCAGAGAAAGCCAGCGAAGCCAGUGUGCACAGCUUGUAAAAAUAUGAGACAAAGGGCUGCCACUCAGAUUCCUGCUGUUUUCUGGCAACUUGUGGUUAGCCCACUCUUUCUCUUCCUUUUGGAGAAGUUUUGUUUUUAGAGACAUGGGCUGUCUGUGUAGCUGAGGCUGCCCUUGAACUCGCCGUGUAGUUCAGACUGCCCUCCAUCUUUCCAUCUUCCUGCUUCAGGCUCCUAAAUACUGGCAUUAUAGGAUUGUGGCUACCACACUAGACUGAAGAAACGCUUGGGUGUUUUUUGUGGUAUUUGCGUUGGUCCUAGUAUCUUGGGUAUACUCUAACACUGAGCUAUAUUCCCAAGACUUUGUACUUGCUUUUUAAAAUGAAAACAAGGUCUUAUUAAGUUUCCCGGUCUAACCUUAAGCUCACUUGUAGCCUAGACAGGUCUGGAAUUUGUCAUCUUCCUGCCUCAGCCUCCCCAGUAGCCGGGAUGACAGGCGUGCGGCACCAGGCCUGCCUUGCUUUGUGUCUUCGUCCUACAGCUGGUUCUAAGAGUCAGAGUCUUGUCAGAGGUUUGUUGUCCCUGUGUCAGUACGCAUAGCCCCUGUCCUGGUUGAUGUUUUUAUCAACUUGGCACUAACUAGAGUCCUUUUCGAAGAAAGAACCUCAACUUGGAAAAUUCCCCCACAAGACUGGCCUAUGGGAAAGCUUGCGGAGGCAUUUUAUUGGUGAUAAUUGGUAUUGGAGAGCCUAGCCACCGCCAACCCUGGGCGGGCGGUCCUGGAUUAUAUACGAAAGCAGGCUGAGAAAGCCAUGAGAAGGGAGCAAGCCAGGAAGCAGCAUUCUUCCAUGGUCUGUGCUGUUUCUGCCUCCAGGUCCCUGCUUGAGCUCCUGCCCUGCCCCUCAGUCGUUACUGUGACCUGAGAACUGAGCUGAGAGAACCCCUUUCCUCCCUAAGUUGCUUUUGGUCGUGGUGUUUUAUCACAGGCAUAGACAAAUAAUUAAGACAGGCCCAACACAUUAGGGCUGUGCCUAUGGUACAUUGACAACCACUUCCUGGUCUCAAGGAGCUCCAGUCUCCGGCAGCACCCCAGAGCCAGGCAAGAGGGCUGGGGUCCCAGCAGCUUGUCAGGGAACAGACCAGCAUUGCUCAUGGAGGCCACCAGGGGGAGCAGGACUCUUUUUCCUCAGGGCUACUUCAGGGAUGUGGGUUUUCUAGAUAUAUGACAUAAUUUUAAGUUGCAACCAUUGUCUCUUUUUUAUUUUUUAUUUUUAUUUUUUCUCAGCAUAACUAAGGAAUAUUGAGAAAUAAUUUGCAGACGGCUAUAUUUCUCCUUAUUAUGUGUAGAGUUUGAUAAGUUUAAAAAUAAAUAUAUGAAUACCCCCACAAUAAAAAUGUGGAAAAAGUUAGUUGCCCUCAAAGCUUUGUCUUGGGAAUAGAGACAUGGCUCAGCAAUUUCUCCAGGUCAUCUUGUUCCAGGUAGCAAGUGAAGCCAUGUUUGGCAACAGGUGGUAAGGCAGUGUUUAAGUGAGUCACUAAAUAAAUCAGUGUCUAAUAAUUGUUUUCUUCUGUCUUAGUCUAUCUCACUUCCUUGUAGUUAGUUUCACACUCACAGACCCCCAAGAACUGCUAAGUUGUUUUCUGUCCCUAUAGCUUUGCUUUUCACAGGGUCUCACAUCAAUGGAGUCAUCCAAUAUGUAGCCUUUUGUUUCUAGUUUUGUUCACAAAAUAUGUCUUGUGUUUUUUUUUAACUUUUGCAAUGUAAGUUGAAAAAUGUCAAUGUAUUUAUCUAUGGGGUACAAAGUGAGGUUAUGAUUUAUGAGCAUGAAAGAACAAUUAAAUCAAGCUCAUUAACAUAGCUAUCAUCUCAAAUGCUAAUCCCCUUAUGAUAAGAGCAUCCAAAAUGCACUUUCUUGUUGACUUUUGUUUGCUUUUUUAGUCAAGGCCUCUAGCCUAGGCUAGCCCUGAACUUGCUACACAGCCAAGGAUGACACUGCACUUCUCUUCCUCCCGCCUCUGCCUCCCAAGUGCUGGGAUUAUAGGCGUGUGACACCACACCCUGCUUAUGCAACGCUGGGGAGAACCCAGGUCUUCCUGCACGCCAGGAUCAUCGGUUGUUUUAGAAGCCUGUUGUUUGAUUUCCAAAUAUUUGGAGAUUUUUCCAGAUAUUUUUCUGUUGCUGAUUUAUAGCUUAAGUUAUCAUGCUGGACCAUAUUUUUGAAUGAUUUCAAUUAUUUUUAUCAAGAUUUGAUUUAUGGCUCAGAAAAUGGUCUUAGUGAAGUUUCACAGUCUCUUGGAAAGAAUGUGGAUUUUGCUGUUGCUGAGUGGAACAUCUCAUAAAUAAAUGUCCAUCAGAUUAAA
Molecule: long non-coding RNA, 5805 nt
Organism: Mesocricetus auratus (golden hamster)
Lineage: Eukaryota; Metazoa; Chordata; Mammalia; Rodentia; Cricetidae
Exons: 2
Source: RefSeq, a predicted model, not a curated record